AAAAUUUUCACGUGGUAUCUUCAUCGGGAAGUUGUGCUAACUAAAGACAACCUUGUACGACAUAACUGGACAGGGAGUAAGAAGUGUUGCUUUUGUGCUCAUGACGAUACAAUCAAACACCUCUUUUUCCAUUGCAAAUUUCCACGUUCUACAUGGCCAGUCAUCCAAGCAAUGUCGAAUUUGUAUUCGCCCACAAGUGUUGCCAAUAUAUUUGGUCAUUGGUUGGACGGUAUUCUAAAUAGAUUCUAA
This 249-nucleotide ribosomal RNA is filed under the name Triticum aestivum (bread wheat). Its description in RNAcentral is "partial small subunit ribosomal RNA". Lineage: Eukaryota; Viridiplantae; Streptophyta; Magnoliopsida; Poales; Poaceae. The record is from RNAcentral.